GUUCCCUCCUCCAGGCAUGGUGCACUCACAUCCUACCUCCCGCACAAUAUACUGCACAUUUUGUGCUUUUACGCAAAAAAUGUGGUGAUUUGAUCGAUUCUGCAAUAGCACUGACGUGCGCGCGGCUCGCGGUGCCUCCGUAUUCAGGUGACGAAGAAAACAAUCAUGUAAACAAUAAUAUUGUUCUGUUUCGCGGCAUACGGGAUGUUCUAAAAGAUGUUUGUUCAUUGCUCAACCGUUAAGCAGUAUCAUUUGCAUAUGGAAUAGUGAAUAUGAGGUCAAGUGAGUGUUUAUAUUCGUUAAGUGCAGUCUGUGCCAAGAGUCAAAUUAAGAAUCACAUCUAAAUACAUAGUUACUUUGAUUUUAAAAUAACUUACAUAAAAUAUCCUAGAUAUGAGUCAACAAAGAAGCGCAUAGUAUUUUAGAACGUUGACUAAAUCAAUGUCAAGGCAAAAACGGCAUAAAAUGAACCGCUGACUCACAACGUUGCUUGCAGUCUGCUGUCACACUACAGGUAAGAUCCGGAUUGGAACUGAAACUUCAAGCAUGCUCACCAUACUCCUGUAACAACAUUUCGAUUGAGAAAUAUCUUCGCAGAACUGAUUCGCGUCGUGAUCAUUUCACUAGAAGAUAAAAGGAUUGUAAAUCCUAACAUCCUGUAUCGAGAUAUUUUCAACAUUAAUGACUUCAUGCUAAAAGUAUACAGCAAUGCGCGUUCAAUGCGUUACCAUUCAAAGAAUAGCCUGACCACUCAACAAAAUUGACGCACAAUAGUUUGUUUACUAUAAGACACAUAAUUCUUUAUUAUUGCGAAGACUCCGAAUAUUAGAUAUUUUAAGAAUUUGAUUGAAUCGAGAGUGACAUUGAUUUUUUGAGCGCGUGCAAGUAGGUACUCAUAGCUAAGUUUAAGAGAUAGAUAAAUAAAGCAGAUAGGCGAAUUUAACAAAAAACAAUGACAUAAAGUUGUUUAUAAAUAAUAUAUAAUACAACUUUUUCAGGUUAUCUCCAAAACAAUUGAAUAACAUUUUCAGCGAAAUCAAAACAGCUGUGAAAUGGAUUACGCCAUACCCGUUGCGUCAUCUAAAAAGUGAAAGGAUCUGCAUACGGAGUGAAGAAAACCUUUAAGAUAAGGCUGAGGAGGAAAUCGGCUGGGAGGCACUUGGUCAAAGCCUGUCGAGGCUGUGGGGUUGUUCAAAAGAGUUAACGCGGCCCUGGUACGCAAAGAGGUCCAAAAGGGAUGUCGUGGGUUUUAGUCAGUAAAAGUUUGACUAUCCGAGGAAAGUCGUUGCCUGCCUCAGAAGAAAAGGGACACGAAAAAUGAUUUUAUACAGUGAGGUCAGUUCCUGACUACUUCCUUAAGAGCUGCGGAGUUUAUGUGGGUAAAAAAAUUAAUUGACAGGACUCUCUCCAUUCAUUAAAAACAAAAAUACCAA
This is a long non-coding RNA of Helicoverpa zea (corn earworm), 1433 nucleotides long. RefSeq lists it as uncharacterized. NCBI's taxonomy places the organism in Eukaryota, Metazoa, Arthropoda, Insecta, Lepidoptera, Noctuidae. The transcript is spliced from 3 exons. The record is from RefSeq and is a predicted model, not a curated record.